UACGUAGGGGGCAAGCGUUGUCCGGAAUCAUUGGGCGUAAAGCGUGCGUAGGCGGCCCGGUAAGUCCGUUGUGAAAGUCGAAGGCUCAACCUUCGAAAGCCGAUGGAUACUGCCGGGCUAGAGUACGGAAGAGGCGAGUGGAAUUCCUGGUGUAGCGGUGGAAUGCGCAGAUAUCAGGAGGAACACCAAUAGCGAAGGCAGCUCGCUGGGACGUUACUGACGCUGAGGCGCGAAAGCGUGGGGAGCGAACAGG
RNAcentral lists this ribosomal RNA (253 nucleotides) under uncultured bacterium. Its description in RNAcentral is "partial 16S ribosomal RNA". It matches the Rfam family "Bacterial small subunit ribosomal RNA", at positions 524 to 776 of the family's 1533-position model. The record is from RNAcentral.